Molecule: long non-coding RNA, 1497 nt
Filed under: Callithrix jacchus (white-tufted-ear marmoset)
Lineage: Eukaryota; Metazoa; Chordata; Mammalia; Primates; Cebidae
Description: lncRNA (ENSCJAG00000082863.1)
Source: RNAcentral
GGACCCUCAGGACCGGGGCCUCCUCUCCCCUAACCCACCUUCCCUUGUAGGAAAAUGUCCUUAAGGACCCUCAGGACCCGGGCCUCCUCUCCCCUAACCCGUCUUCCCUUGUAGGAAAAUGCCCUUAAGGACCCUCAGGACCCGGGCCUCCUCUCCCCUAACCCGUCUUCCCUUGUAGGAAAAUGUCCUUAAGGACCCUCAGGACCGGGGCCUCCUCUCCCCUAACCCACCUUCCCUUGUAGGAAAGUGUCCUUAAGGACCCUCAGGACCCGGGCCUCCUCUCCCCUAACCCACCUUCCCUUGUAGGAAAAUGCCCUUAAGGACCCUCAGGACCCGGGCCUCCUCUCCCCUAACCCACCUUCCCUUGUAGGAAAAUGCCCUUAAGGACCCUCAGGACCCGGCCUCCUCUCCCCUAACCCACCUUCCCUUGCAGGAAAAUGCCCUUAAGGACCCUCAGGACCCGGGUCUCCUCUCCCCUAACCCACCUUCCCUUGUAGGAAAAUGUCCUUAAGGACCCUCAGGACCCGGGCCUCCUCUCCCCUAACCCACCUUCCCUUGCCAGGGUGACCCCGCCAGAACCAGGUGAGCCGCUGCCCACACAGGGACCCGCGGCCAACAGGCCAACGUCCUGGGGAAGCGCUUCUUACCCUGCUGCCUGGGACGGGAGAACGCAGGAGAGGCUGGAGAACACCCGGGAAAGGCCUGGAGAACACCCGGGAAAGGCUGCAGAACGCCGGGGAGAGGCCUGGAGAACGCCCGGGAAAGGCUGCAGAACGCCGGGGAGAGGCCUGGAGAACGCCCGGGAGGCUGAAGAACACCCGGGAGGCUGUAGAACGCCGGAGAGGCCUGGAGAACGCCCGGGAGAGGCCUGGUGAACACCCGAGAGGCUGGAGAAUGCCCUGGAGGCCUGGAGAACGCCCGGGAAAGGCUGCAGAACGCCGGGGAGAGGCCUGGAGAACGCCCGGGAGGCUGAAGAACACCCGGGAGGCUGUAGAACGCCGGAGAGGCCUGGAGAACGCCCGGGAGAGGCCUGGAGAACACCCGGGAGGCUGGAGAAGGCCCGGGAGAGGCUGGAGAACGCCUGGGAGGCCUGACAGAACCGUGCCUCAGGCCGUGGCGCUCGGCCCCCUGCAGACUCCGGCUGAACCUGCCCCUCCCCGUUGUUUUUCUCUGACCAACCUCUGCGCAUGCGCGGUUCUGCGCCCGGGGCUGGGCUGUUCCUCGCCAGCAAUGAGCAGAGAGUGGGGAGUGCUCGCCCUUUCCACCCCACAGGCUUCGGCAGCUUUUGGUCCCAGAGAUAAUAUCCGAAGGAUAGAGAAGGAGAGGAACGCGGAGAGAGAGCUUGGAGUGCUACGUGCAGUAAGGAAGUGGUGACCAAGAACAUCCAUAGUUCCUGCCCUCAUGGAGACUAAAGGCUGGUGAAGGAGAAAUAAAUCAAAUUAUCCAGGAAAAGAACUACAGUGAUAACUUAUCUUGGUGGGAAAAGAAUGAUAUAAC